Molecule: ribosomal RNA, 397 nt
Filed under: uncultured bacterium
Lineage: Bacteria
Description: partial 16S ribosomal RNA
Rfam family: Bacterial small subunit ribosomal RNA
Source: RNAcentral
AUACGUAGGGAGCGAGCGUUGUCCGGAAUUACUGGGUGUAAAGGGAGCGUAGGCGGGAGUGCAAGUCAGAUGUGAAAUACAUGGGCUCAACCCAUGGGCUGCAUUUGAAACUGCAUUUCUUGAGUGAAGUAGAGGUAAGCGGAAUUCCUGGUGUAGCGGUGAAAUGCGUAGAGAUCAGGAGGAACACCGGUGGCGAAGGCGGCUGACGGGGCUGUUACGGACGAGGAGGCACGAAAGCGUGGGGGGCAAAAAGGAUUAUAUACCCUGGUGGUCCACGCCGUAAACGAUGAAUACUAGGUGUAGGGGGUAUCGACUCCCUCUGUGCCGCAGUUAACACAAUAAGUAUUCCUCCUGGGGAGUACGGCCGCAAGGUUGAAACUCAAAGGAAUUGACGGGG